UGGGGGAUCGUCUAAUGGUAGGACACAGCACUUUGGCUGCUGGUAUUGGGGUUCGAGUCCCUAUCCCCCAGCCA
This 74-nucleotide transfer RNA is filed under the name bacterium. RNAcentral describes it as "tRNA-Gln". It matches the Rfam family "tRNA". Rfam says of the family: Transfer RNA (tRNA) molecules are approximately 80 nucleotides in length. Their secondary structure includes four short double-helical elements and three loops (D, anti-codon, and T loops). The record is from RNAcentral.